Molecule: long non-coding RNA, 276 nt
Filed under: Homo sapiens (human)
Lineage: Eukaryota; Metazoa; Chordata; Mammalia; Primates; Hominidae
Description: HSALNT0369499
Source: RNAcentral
UGUGACGGAGGCGCCCACGUGCUCGGCCCGCCCGUGUUACGGCCGCCUACCGGCUGCAGAGGAGAAGGGAGGAAAGGGUGGAAUCUCAACACAAGUGGUAGGCAACUUUGAAAACAAUAAAUAGAUGAAGAAUGGAGAGACCUCAAAAGGAGAGUCUGGGAACCCUAGCCAAAGGGCCUGGCUCUGUCAUCCAGACUGGAAUGCAGUGUUGGAGUCACAGCUCACUGCAGCCUCAACCUCUCAGGCUCAAGUGAACCUCCCACCCCAGCUUCCCAG